GUUAAGCGACUAAGCGUACACGGUGGAUGCCCUGGCAGUCAGAGGCGAUGAAGGGCGUGCUAAUCUGCGAUAAGCGCCGGUAAGGUGAUAUGAACCGUUAUAACCGGCGAUACCCGAAUGGGGAAACCCAGUGUGAUUCGUCACACUAUCAUUAACUGAAUCCAUAGGUUAAUGAGGCGAACCGGGGGAACUGAAACAUCUAAGUACCCCGAGGAAAAGAAAUCAACCGAGAUUCCCCCAGUAGCGGCGAGCGAACGGGGAGGAGCCCAGAGCCUGAAUCAGCAUGUGUGUUAGUGGAAGCGUCUGGAAAGGCGCGCGAUACAGGGUGACAGCCCCGUACACAAAAGCGCAUGUGCUGUGAGCUCGAUGAGUAGGGCGGGACACGUGGUAUCCUGUCUGAAUAUGGGGGGACCAUCCUCCAAGGCUAAAUACUCCUGACUGACCGAUAGUGAACCAGUACCGUGAGGGAAAGGCGAAAAGAACCCCGGCGAGGGGAGUGAAAAAGAACCUGAAACCGUGUACGUACAAGCAGUGGGAGCACAGGUUUACCUGUGUGACUGCGUACCUUUUGUAUAAUGGGUCAGCGACUUAUAUUCUGUAGCAAGGUUAACCGUAUAGGGGAGCCGCAGGGAAACCGAGUCUUAAUUGGGCGUUAAGUUGCAGGGUAUAGACCCGAAACCCGGUGAUCUAGCCAUGGGCAGGUUGAAGGUUGGGUAACACUAACUGGAGGACCGAACCGACUAAUGUUGAAAAAUUAGCGGAUGACCUGUGGCUGGGGGUGAAAGGCCAAUCAAACCGGGAGAUAGCUGGUUCUCCCCGAAAGCUAUUUAGGUAGCGCCUCGUGAAUUCAUCUCCGGGGGUAGAGCACUGUUUCGGCUAGGGGGCCAUCCCGGCUUACCAACCCGAUGCAAACUGCGAAUACCGGAGAAUGUUAUCACGGGAGACACACGGCGGGUGCUAACGUCCGUCGUGAAGAGGGAAACAACCCAGACCGCCAGCUAAGGUCCCAAAGUCAUGGUUAAGUGGGAAACGAUGUGGGAAGGCCCAGACAGCCAGGAUGUUGGCUUAGAAGCAGCCAUCAUUUAAAGAAAGCGUAAUAGCUCACUGGUCGAGUCGGCCUGCGCGGAAGAUGUAACGGGGCUAAACCAUGCACCGAAGCUGCGGCAGCGACGCUUAUGCGUUGCUGGGUAGGGGAGCGUUCUGUAAGCCUGCGAAGGUGGCCUGUGAGGGUUGCUGGAGGUAUCAGAAGUGCGAAUGCUGACAUAAGUAACGAUAAAGCGGGUGAAAAGCCCGCUCGCCGGAAGACCAAGGGUUCCUGUCCAACGUUAAUCGGGGCAGGGUGAGUCGACCCCUAAGGCGAGGCCGAAAGGCGUAGUCGAUGGGAAACGGGUUAAUAUUCCCGUACUUGGUGUUACUGCGAAGGGGGGACGGAGAAGGCUAUGUUGGCCGGGCGACGGUUGUCCCGGUUUAAGCGUGUAGGUGUGUGUUCCAGGUAAAUCCGGUUCACUUUAACACUGAGGCGUGACGACGAGGCACUACGGUGCUGAAGCAACAAAUGCCCUGCUUCCAGGAAAAGCCUCUAAGCAUCAGGUAACAUCAAAUCGUACCCCAAACCGACACAGGUGGUCAGGUAGAGAAUACCAAGGCGCUUGAGAGAACUCGGGUGAAGGAACUAGGCAAAAUGGUGCCGUAACUUCGGGAGAAGGCACGCUGACAC
This 1717-nucleotide ribosomal RNA is filed under the name Salmonella enterica subsp. enterica serovar Mississippi. Its description in RNAcentral is "partial 23S ribosomal RNA". It matches the Rfam family "Bacterial large subunit ribosomal RNA", at positions 1 to 1757 of the family's 2925-position model. Lineage: Bacteria; Pseudomonadati; Pseudomonadota; Gammaproteobacteria; Enterobacterales; Enterobacteriaceae. The record is from RNAcentral.